AUACGGAGGAUCCGAGCGUUAUCCGGAUUUGUUGGGUUUAAAGGGUGCGCAGGCGGCCAUUUAAGUCAGCGGUUAAAUCGUGGGGCUCAACCCCAUUCUGCCGUUGAUACUGGGUGGCUUGAUUGCGGUCGAGGUUGGCGGAAUUCGUUGUGUAGCGGGUAAAUGCAUAGAUAUGACGAAGAACACCGAUUGCGUAGGCAGCUGACCAGACCGCAAAUGACGCUCAUGCACGAAAGUGCGGGGAUCGAACAGGAUUAGAUACCCUGGUAGUCCGCACAGUAAACGAUGAAUACUUGUUUUCGGCGAUAUAAUGUCGGAGGCAAAGCGAAAGCGAUAAGUAUUCCACCUGGGGAGUACGCCGGCAACGGUGAAACUCAAAUGAAUUGGCGGGG
This 392-nucleotide ribosomal RNA is filed under the name uncultured bacterium. Its description in RNAcentral is "partial 16S ribosomal RNA". It matches the Rfam family "Bacterial small subunit ribosomal RNA", at positions 523 to 918 of the family's 1533-position model. The record is from RNAcentral.